CCUACGGGAGGCUGCAGUGGGGAAUAUUGGACAAUGGGGGGAACCCUGAUCCAGCCAUGCCGCGUGUGUGAAGAAGGCCCUCGGGUUGUAAAGCACUUUCAGUGAGGAAGAACGCCUGGUGGUUAAUACCCAUCAGGAAAGACAUCACUCACAGAAGAAGCACCGGCUAACUCCGUGCCAGCAGCCGCGGUAAUACGGAGGGUGCGAGCGUUAAUCGGAAUUACUGGGCGUAAAGCGCGCGUAGGUGGCUUGAUAAGCCGGUUGUGAAAGCCCCGGGCUCAACCUGGGAACGGCAUCCGGAACUGUCAAGCUAGAGUGCAGGAGAGGAAGGUAGAAUUCCCGGUGUAGCGGUGAAAUGCGUAGAGAUCGGGAGGAAUACCAGUGGCGAAGGCGGCCUUCUGGACUGACACUGACACUGAGGUGCGAAAGCGUGGGUAGCAAACAGGAUUAGAUACCCUAGUAGUU
RNAcentral lists this ribosomal RNA (465 nucleotides) under Vreelandella stevensii. RNAcentral describes it as "partial 16S ribosomal RNA". It matches the Rfam family "Bacterial small subunit ribosomal RNA", at positions 338 to 795 of the family's 1533-position model. Lineage: Bacteria; Pseudomonadati; Pseudomonadota; Gammaproteobacteria; Oceanospirillales; Halomonadaceae. The record is from RNAcentral.